Long non-coding RNA from Apis cerana (Asiatic honeybee), 381 nucleotides. RefSeq lists it as uncharacterized. Lineage: Eukaryota; Metazoa; Arthropoda; Insecta; Hymenoptera; Apidae. The record is from RefSeq and is a predicted model, not a curated record.
UCGACCUGAGCGCAGCAUUUCGAGCCUUUGAAAACACGUACGAGAAGGUUGUACAGUUAUUGGCCCCUUCCAUGACAACACAAACGAGCAGAAUGCUGAUUGUAACCAUCGGAUGCGUCCCAGUAUGCCAAGUUUAUGGUAGAAGAAUUUCACUAUCGAAUCCGAGUUUACCGUUGGUAUAUGUUAUCUCGUCGCGUGCACGCCGCCAUAGAAUGAAAACGUAACUGUGAUAAAUCAUCUUUAUCGAGAUCAAGGUGGUGGAUCGAGAUCGAGGUUGGAAACAAGGAUACGAGGAUCCGUUAAGGCGUGAACAAAUACAUUUUCAUUCAUCGGCAACCAUUGCUCCCUUAAAAAAGAAAAAGAAAAAAAAAAAAAGGAAAA